Molecule: transfer RNA, 72 nt
Filed under: Spongilla lacustris
Lineage: Eukaryota; Metazoa; Porifera; Demospongiae; Spongillida; Spongillidae
Description: tRNA-Gly
Rfam family: tRNA (bases 1-50)
About the family: Transfer RNA (tRNA) molecules are approximately 80 nucleotides in length.
Source: RNAcentral
AAUAAUUGAUUUCCAAUCAUUACUGGUGGGUUCAAGUCCCACUAUGUGCACUGGCUUAAGCUUGGCGGGAUA